This is a long non-coding RNA of Lytechinus variegatus (green sea urchin), 573 nucleotides long. RefSeq lists it as uncharacterized. The transcript is spliced from 3 exons. The record is from RefSeq and is a predicted model, not a curated record. Lineage: Eukaryota; Metazoa; Echinodermata; Echinoidea; Temnopleuroida; Toxopneustidae.
ACAACAUAAUGUUUUGACGUAUUCGGACUGCGUUUCACGUCAUCCUAGGUAUACUCCACUGCCUUUUACAUCGUUCCUUCCAGUUCCUCCUCCUCCCCCGACUCCGACCGGGAUUUUAACAGCACUUGGGGCCCGCCAGCCUUGGUAUACGCCACUUCAAACACUUUCAAAACAGACAUUCCUUGACUGUAACAAUGUGGAUUUCAAAAACACCAAUCAUCUAGCAGACGAUCGUUAUACAACAUUACACUGAUUUCGUCAACUUGAGAACAUCAUAGAGGAUAUUCACCGGAUGGACUAUUGCCGGAUACACCAACACGCUUGAUUACCGAACUCUUCAUGCCUGCUGUCUGGACCACAAAGCUCUGCUGACGGUUAUCUGUUGAAUUGCUUUUAGCUCCGAUUCACUUUGAAAUCGUGAAACUAGGAAUUCGCACUUGAUUUGUUGGUGAGAAAGAUACAUAGAUGAAAGGGACGAUGUCGUGGAGUCAGUUCGAUAUCGUCGACCAUUCGCCGCCGAACGUAGAAGCAUGGUGCGCAGAAUCCGCUGGGAUGCCAAGCAAUAAAACGAGC